GACAGAGGAUGCAAGCGUUAUCCGGAAUGAUUGGGCGUAAAGCGUCUGUAGGUGGCUUUUUAAGUCUGCCGUCAAAUCCCAGGGCUUAACCCUGGACAGGCGGUGGAAACUACCAAGCUGGAGUACGGUAGGGGCAGGGGGAAUUUCCGGGGGAGCGGUGAAAUGCGUAGAGAUCGGAAAGAACACCAACGGCGAAAGCACUCUGCUGGGCCGACACUGACACUGAGAGACGAAAGCUAGGGGAGCGAAUGGG
RNAcentral lists this ribosomal RNA (253 nucleotides) under uncultured bacterium. RNAcentral's name for it is "partial 16S ribosomal RNA". It matches the Rfam family "Bacterial small subunit ribosomal RNA", at positions 524 to 776 of the family's 1533-position model. The record is from RNAcentral.